Long non-coding RNA from Malaclemys terrapin pileata, 1465 nucleotides. RefSeq lists it as uncharacterized. Lineage: Eukaryota; Metazoa; Chordata; Testudines; Emydidae. The transcript is spliced from 3 exons. The record is from RefSeq and is a predicted model, not a curated record.
UAUCUGUGUUGCCCAGUUCAAGCCCUCUGGAUAAAAGAGAGGAUAAGCAGUGAAUACAUUUACGAGAAGGAAGAUAAUCGGUUUUAAAGUUUGGACGGCUAUUGUAUCAUAUAGAUACCUGUGGGAAAAGCAGGGUCCAGGUAACCCUGCUAGGACAUCAGCUGCUGAGACUGUGCCAGCUUCUCCAGUCCUGCCUGGCUAUUCCAGUCCGGAGUUUCAUCUGGGCAGUACAGUUGCUGCAAAGACGAGCUAUACAACACUGAGUACCAUUGAAAAUAUUUUAUGCAAGCCUUAAAAACCUUACUCCAGAAUGAAUGCUACACAACCAGAGAAUGGACUUUUUCCUAGCUUACCACCUCAAGGAAAUAUCCUUCUCUUCAAACAAUCCUGAAAACCUCUUCUCUGCACAGUGAUUCCAGAAAAACUACUGACACCACGCUGCCGAGAAAGUUUGCUUUGCAACAACAGUUACCUUUCACGUGGGUGUUGUUCCUGCUGAGUCUGUCUGCUGCUUCCUAUGUUUUGUGUCACAAAAUGUGACAAUGUUUUAUUGGUCACAGUAAAUUUACAUUUCAGCUUUGAACCACCUUUGCAAAAAAAAUUGUAUUUGGAUAAAAAAAUGCAGUGUAAUAUUCUAAUAUGUAGUGUUGGAUGUUCUAAUUAUAUUCAGUUAUAAACAAAAGUAAAUUUGUUAAAUGUUAAUAUUCACAUUAAAUAUAAAAAUUAAAACACAUAGGAGUCUCCAGCUUCACUUGAUCACUUGGUGACAGAGACAGAAAAUACAGCUCAUCACUGAAAAAUCUCAUGAGAGUCCAUGCAUUACUAAGUUCUUGAAAAGCUAGUUCUAUUUCUUUAUAUUAAGUUUUUGGGUUAUUUAGUAGUCUAAGUUUAAUGAAUCACCAUUAAAAAAAUUAAUUUGCUUUACAACAAAUUUGAAAAUCUGUAACAAAUAGGAAAUUGGAAAUUUGUAAAGUUGAAAGGCAAGUUCUAAUUGUUUUCCUUUUAAACUGUGGUUCAAUUAGAAUUUAAUUUAAACUACUGCAAAAAUAAAAAUGAAAAAAAAAUAGAAUUUGACUUUGAAAAUCUCCAAUAUCCCAUUCAUGCCAAUGAUGAGCUGCAUUACUUGUGUUUCAAUCUACUUCCCAGCAGGAAGUCCAGUCUUAUGAAAUAUCAGCAAAACAUCAGCUCCACUAAUCCUAUUCAUUAAAUAGAGAAACUGUAACAGUAAUCGUUUUUUCUAAAAUGCAUGCAAAAUAAGUUUUAAUAUUUGCAAUACAUUAAAUGCCAAAGCACAUAAUUUAAUGAAGUGUUUCAUUUAUUAAAGUGACUGUAGUUUUGUAGCGUAUUAGAGUGCAUUCUAAAUGGUGUCUAAUGUAUUAUGCAAACCCUGAUUACUGGGUAGCAUCCUAAGUUCAGUUGAAUAAAUUAAAUGCUCAUGAACUCCAAAUAUGUCAAGGGAAAGAAU